AGAUUGAACGCUGGCGGCAUGCUUUACACAUGCAAGUCGAACGGUAACAGGCCGCAAGGUGCUGACGAGUGGCGAACGGGUGAGUAAUGUAUCGGAACGUGCCCAGUCGUGGGGGAUAACGCAGCGAAAGCUGCGCUAAUACCGCAUACGAUCUAUGGAUGAAAGCGGGGGACCUAAGGCCUCGCGCGAUUGGAGCGGCCGAUAUCAGAUUAGGUAGUUGGUGGGUAAAGGCUCACCAAGCCAACGAUCUGUAGCUGGUCUGAGGGGACGACCAGCCACACUGGGACUGAGACACGGCCCAGACUCCUACGGGAGGCAGCAGUGGGAAUUUUGGACAAUGGGCGCAAGCCUGAUCCAGCAAUGCCGCGUGCUGGAAGAAGGCCUUCGGUU
This 390-nucleotide ribosomal RNA is filed under the name uncultured soil bacterium. RNAcentral describes it as "bacterial SSU rRNA". It matches the Rfam family "Bacterial small subunit ribosomal RNA", at positions 26 to 423 of the family's 1533-position model. The record is from RNAcentral.